CAACAACAACAUCCGUGAAAGUUGGUCAGGAAGGACUCACCAAGUUGCCAGUUCCUCCUGACAAGUGACCAGCUCGCCGAUGUGUUCACCAAGGGCCCAAGCUGUUUCGACCGAGAAGCACCGAAGCACUUUAGGUUUGAGAGGGGGUGUUGGAAGUCAACCCUAAGUGCGGCCCUGGUGAUUAGUUUAGUUCAAGCAAAACAUUGUAAAACGUCCAAUCUCAUUUUUCAAAACAUUGAGAAAAACGAAGAUUCAAUUUUAUGAAAACAUUUCAUUAUUGCUGUAAAAUUGAUGAUUAAAUUACAUUGGCCUUUUAAAAAAGUUAACAACAUGCGGGACCGGUUAAGCCCUUUGCGUUUUAGCGCCUUUGUAAACAUUGGCGUGUUUCAUUUUCCAUCUGGCCCUAUGUCAAACGGCCAAACACGACGUCAGGAUUUGUUUUUGUUGUUCUUUUGUUUUUUGGCUUCGCAGGCCAAACCAAAACAAAUUAUGAUAUCGUGUUAGGACUUUUGCACCAAAAACACUUUUUUCUCGUUUUACGUUAAUUGAACAGUUAAUUAGUUUUAUUUUCAUAAAAUUUAUAUAAUGUAUCGAGUUUUAUUGUAUUCCUAAAGGGAAGUGCAAAGCAGGUGGCGGCAGAGGUCGAGGGGAGGAAGAAGUUUUCGUUCGCUGUUUUUUCGGAGGAGCUGCUGCUGCUGAGCCGCCAUGGAGUAUCAACCCGGUUACGGUGAUAAACAUGCCAGAGUACGUGACGAGUCGGAUGGCGGGGAUUAUCCGGAACCGUCAGCAGCAGGUUAUUGCGAAGCCAUGAGGCUCGAAAUCGUUUGUGUAACCGCAGUUCUCGGCGCAACUGAUCGAUCUGUGCUCGCUGGACCUCGCUCCGAAGAAAACCGCCACCAGCAGGUUCGGUCUGGACUAGGAUGAAACUGCGCCUACGCCAAAAGGAUACAAACGUACCUCCUCAUCAUCUGUGACGAGAACAAAGUAUCCGGACAACACAGUGAACCACCCAGAGUAGUCUUCCCUGGUGCCAACACAGAUGCCGCAAAAUAGCUUGGACAUCUCCGUCGAUCCUGUAUGUUUUUGUGCUUUACCGGCUAUCACCCAAGGAAAAAGGAAGUGAACAAAAUAGCUUGGAUCUUGCUACGGCCGAACAGUACGACACGGAAUAGCAAACUGGAGAAAUGAAUCACCUCUCAUAAGCAAAGAUUUCAAGUGAUGGUUUUCACCAAAUAAAUUGAUGCAUUUUUGUUCUUUUGUGUUUUU
This is a long non-coding RNA of Culex quinquefasciatus (southern house mosquito), 1266 nucleotides long. RefSeq lists it as uncharacterized. Lineage: Eukaryota; Metazoa; Arthropoda; Insecta; Diptera; Culicidae. The transcript is spliced from 2 exons. The record is from RefSeq and is a predicted model, not a curated record.